UCGGGAAUUUUGGGCAAUGGGCGCAAGCCUGAUCCAGCCAUGCCGCGUGAGUGAUGAAGGCCCUAGGGUUGUAAAGCUCUUUCACCGGUGAAGAUAAUGACGGUAACCGGAGAAGAAGCCCCGGCUAACUUCGUGCCAGCAGCCGCGGUAAUACGAAGGGGGCUAGCGUUGUUCGGAUUUACUGGGCGUAAAGCGCACGUAGGCGGACUUUUAAGUCAGGGGUGAAAUCCCGGGGCUCAACCCCGGAACUGCCUUUGAUACUGGAAGUCUUGAAUAUGGUAGAGGUGAGUGGAAUUCCGAGUGUAGAGGUGAAAUUCGUGGAUAUUCGGAGGAACACCAGUGGCGAAGGCGGCUCACUGGACCAUUACUGACGCUGAGGUGCGAAAGCGUGGGGAGCAAACAGGAUUAGAUACCCCCGUAGUCCCUGAGCGGGCUGGCAAGGCGCAU
RNAcentral lists this ribosomal RNA (447 nucleotides) under uncultured bacterium. RNAcentral describes it as "bacterial SSU rRNA". It matches the Rfam family "Bacterial small subunit ribosomal RNA", at positions 355 to 825 of the family's 1533-position model. The record is from RNAcentral.